GAUGAAGAACGCAGCGAAAUGCGAUAAGUAAUGUGAAUUGCAGAAUUCAGUGAAUCAUCGAAUCUUUGAACGCACCUUGCGCUCCUUGGUAUUCCAAAGAGCAUGCCUGUUUGAGUAUCAUUAAAUUAUCAACUGUACCAAUUUGGUUGCAGAUUGGAUGUGGGAGAUUUUGCAGGCUUUUGAUUUCUCUUUGAGAAAACGGUCAGCUCUCCUGAAAUAUAUUAGCAGUGCCUUUGUUGGUUCAUUAGGUGUGAUAAUUUAUCUACAUCUUCACAUGGUACCUUCAUUUGUGUAAAGGUCAUAUUGCUUUUAAUUGUCUUUGGACAUAAAAAAAAAAAAAACAUAUAAUUGUAUGGAAAACUUGAUCUCAAAUCAGGCAGGACUACCCGCUGAACUUAAGCAUAUCAAUAAGCGGAGGA
This 419-nucleotide unclassified non-coding RNA is filed under the name soil metagenome. Its description in RNAcentral is "partial contains 5.8S ribosomal RNA, internal transcribed spacer 2, and large subunit ribosomal RNA". The stretch from base 1 to 120 matches the Rfam family "5.8S ribosomal RNA", at positions 35 to 154 of the family's 154-position model. The record is from RNAcentral.